CGUAGGGUGCGUAGCGUUAAUCGGAAUUACUGGGCGUAAAGCGUGCGCAGGCGGUUAUAUAAGACAGAUGUGAAAUCCCCGGGCUCAACCUGGGAACUGCAUUUGUGACUGUAUAGCUAGAGUACGGCAGAGGGGGAUGGAAUUCCGCGUGUAGCAGUGAAAUGCGUAGAUAUGCGGAGGAACACCGAUGGCGAAGGCAAUCCCCUGGGCCUGUACUGACGCUCAUGCACGAAAGCGUGGGGAGCAAACAGGAUUAGAUACCCUGGUAGUCCACGCCCUAAACGAUGUCAACUGGUUGUUGGGUCUUCACUGACUCAGUAACGAAGCUAACGCGUGAAGUUGACCGCCUGGGGAGUACGGCCGCAAGGUUG
RNAcentral lists this ribosomal RNA (371 nucleotides) under uncultured organism. RNAcentral describes it as "bacterial SSU rRNA". It matches the Rfam family "Bacterial small subunit ribosomal RNA", at positions 526 to 896 of the family's 1533-position model. The record is from RNAcentral.